Molecule: small RNA, 642 nt
Filed under: Pan troglodytes (chimpanzee)
Lineage: Eukaryota; Metazoa; Chordata; Mammalia; Primates; Hominidae
Description: processed transcript
Source: RNAcentral
CACAGCCCUUUUUGAGGAGCUGCGAAGGGUGCACAGGCCAGUAGCUGGAGGUUCUUUGGUACCCCCUCCUUUUAGGUGGGGUCAGCAGACACAGGGGCGCCAUGUGGCCGAGUUACCAAGAUGAACACGAGUUCAACGCCCACCUGGUUUGUCGCAUGUGCUGUAUGGAUGAACGGGACCGGGUUCAGAAGAAAACGUUCACCAAGUGGGUCAACAAGCACUUAAUGAAGGUCCGCAAGCACAUCAACGAUCUUUAUGAAGAUCUGCGGGAUGGCCAUAACCUGAUCUCUCUGUUGGAGGUCCUCUCAGGCAUCAAACUGCCCCGGGAGAAGGGCAGGAUGCGUUUUCAUAGGCUGCAGAAUGUGCAGAUUGCCCUGGACUUCCUAAAGCAGCGACAGGUGAAACUAGUGAAUAUUCGCAAUGAUGACAUCACAGAUGGCAACCCCAAGUUGACCCUGGGUCUGAUCUGGACCAUUAUUUUGCAUUUCCAGAUUUCGCUCUUGUUGCACAGGCUGGAGUGCAAUGGCACCAUCUCGGCUUACCAAAACCUCUGCCUCCCAGGUUCAAGCGAUUCUCCUGCCUCAGCCUCCCAAGUAGCUGGGAUUACAGGCGUGUGCCACCACGCUCAGCUAAUUUUUUUAU